RNAcentral lists this long non-coding RNA (23684 nucleotides) under Malus domestica (apple). RNAcentral's name for it is "long non-coding RNA (MDOM_LNC003387)". The record is from RNAcentral. Lineage: Eukaryota; Viridiplantae; Streptophyta; Magnoliopsida; Rosales; Rosaceae.
UUUUUUUUUUUUUUUAGUUUAUUUCGGAUAAGAUUUUUAACCAAUUUCGGAUAAGAUUUUUAACCAAUUUCGGAUAAAAUUUCAAAUAAACUUAAAAAAAAAACACACUAAAAUAAAAUUACAUAAACUCAUCAAAUAAACUAUAAAAAAAACACACUAAAAUGAAAUUACAUAAACUCAUCAAAUACUCUUUAUUCUUCAACCACAAGCUUUUUGGUAUUUUUUUUCACACAAAAAGUAUAUGAAAGCUUUGGUAGAAAGUGUAGAAAAUAUUGAAAUGUGGUGUAAGGUGGAAGAUGAGGGUUAGGUAUUUAUAGAAAUUUUUUUUUUAAUUUUCUGUAUUUUUUAAUAAAUUUUAAUUUAGUUAAUUAACGUGGACCGUUGAUCUAUGAUCGAACGGUCUAUUUUAAAAGUCAAAUUUAAAUUUUUUUUACCGUUGGAAAUCCAACGGUCUAGAAAAACUAGCCGUUGGAAAUCCAACGGCUAUGAGCAUGACGCGUCACUCCGGAGCACAAGUGGGCUGACAGCCCUCUGCAAGCUUGUCGGCUACUCGCCCUGGGCGCGAGUGUCGUGCACGCGCCAGCCAAAUAGGCCGGCUCUUGGGUCUGUCAAAAUUGGGCUGGUCUGUUGCCUGGCAUGGGCUGGGUGCUAGGUAACUUUGUGGGCUGGAGCAAAUUGAUUGAGGGCUAGUCUGUUUUUUGUGCUGGGUCCUGGGCAAAGCAAGCCCUGGUGGACUUGCUCUAAGCAUUUAUCUCAUCUCGACUAUUUUUUAUUUGGGUAAAGUACAAAAACUACCUCAAUUAUUGGUGUCACGACACUUUCAUACCUCAUUUUUUAAAAUUAACAAUGUUAUACCGCAUUUUAUGAAUUUGUGACAAUGUCAUACCUCCGUAAGUUUUUCUAUUAAUUUCUCUGUUAAAUGCUGACGUAGCCCGACACGUGUCCCACUCACUAAUCCAGCUGGAUUAAAAAAUAAUUAAAUAUAUUUUUAAUAAUUAAAUAUUAACAAAUUAAGAAUAAAAAAACAAAAAAAAAAUUUACUAGGGUGCAACAUCCCCUUUCCUUCUCCCGCACCAAUUUCAAUGUUUUUGUUCUUCUCUCUCCUCCUUCUUCUUCAUCUUCGUCUUCUUCUCUUGGGCCGAAACUGGUUUUGGCACAUUUUUUUUUCGUUUUCAAUUUUUUUUGUUCUUCUCUCUCCUCCUUCUUCUUCUUUAUCUUCUUCUUCUCCUAGGCCGAAGCUGGAUUUGGCACUUUUUUGUUUUCAAUUUUUUUUGUUCUCUCUCCUUCUCCUUCUUCUUCUUCUUCUUCUUCUUCUCCUUCUUCUUCUCCUGGGCCGAAACUGGAUUUGUCAUUUUUUUUUUGUUCUUAUCUCUCCUCCUUAAGAAGAAGAAGAGAGAGAAGGAAAAAAAAAAAAAGAAGGAAACCAGUUCGUCCGUCCCCCUCCCCUAACUCAACCUGCAGAAGAAGAAAAAGUAGAGAGAGAGAGAGAGAGAGAGAGAGAGAAAAAAAAAGGAAACCCCCAAGCUGCAACCCAGAAAGAAGAAGAAGAAGAAAGGAAAAAAAAAAAAAUGAAAAGGUCGUCCGUCCCAACCCCCCUCCCCAACCCACCCAACCUGCAGAAGAAAGAAGAAGAGAGAGAGAAAAGAAAAAGAAAAAGAAAAGCUUUUUUUUUUUUACUUUUCCUUAUUAUUUUAAUAUUUAAAAAAUAUUAAAUAAUUUUUUUUAGUUUUUAAUAAUUUUUUAAUAGAAAGUGGGUCCAGAAUCAAGCCACGUCAGUAUUUAACUGCAAAAUUGACGGCCAGGUAACGGAAGGUAUAACAUUAAACCAAAUUUUAAAGAUGAGGUAUGACAUUGUCAAUGUUAAAAGAUGAGGUAUGAAAGUGUCGUGACACUAAUAGUUGAGGUAGUUUUUUGUACUUUACCCUUUUUAUUUUUAGAUAAUUACUUUAAAUUCGUUUGUUAAAACGGUAAAUGGAUUUAAACUUAGGUGCAAAUGCAAGAGAGUAGAGCAUAUUGUUCUAGUAAACUUAGCUAAAUUCACGUCUGCUUCAUUCUUGUAUAUAAAUUCUACCUGUAUUGAAAAAGGAGAUUCCAAACACAAGAUUUCGGACACAUCACGUAUGAGUUCAUUAAACACCUAAGCUAUCAGCCUCUUGGUCAGUUCAUGAUAGUGUGUAGUCAAAGAUUUUUUAUUUUAGUUUUAGUAGUCACACCUUCAAAAUAAUGACAACUAAUUUUAUUUUCUCGGUGUUAGAAAAGAUAUUAACUUCAAAUCAUCGCUCCUCAUUAUAAGAGUUAAUAUGAUAAAUGGUGUAAGGAUCAACCCGUGUUAUUCCUGUGUAAAAUGCUCUAAUGGUAAAUUGUUUAGUUCACACUUAUGGGCCAGAACUCACUCUUGGCUCCUAUCGCCAUUGAAUGGAAGGAGAAGAUUUAACAAAUAACACGCGAUGUAAUUUGAAACUUGUCCCCCAAAAGGUUUUCUUCUAAAAACUGAAAUUGAAAAAAAAAAAGCGAGAAUAUAAGUUCAAGCAACACUUUUUCUGCUUCUAUCAUAAAGAAUCAAACGAUGAAAUCCUAAUUCAUUAUCUUGUUCUUACUCUCUCACCACCUGGGUUAACCGAGGCAUAGUUGUUGUGUGACCGAGUGAUACAGCUAGUAAACUCACAAGUGCAUAUCAGAGAUGAACCUAAUUCAUGUGAUGAAGCUGCAAUUCUACUGUGUUAUGUUAUGUGACACAAAUAAACAUUAAUUAAGUUUGCACAUAAACUUCUUCCCAUAACUUAUCUGGAUUCCAACGUCUAGAUGUAGUGCAGAGUAUUGUGCAAUUCUACUGGCUCCUGUUCCGGGUACAUGGAAACAUCUCUCAUGUAUUGAAACUUAGCUUUCAGAGAGUUCAGAGAUAAAAAAAUAUCUUCUCCUUAUUUCACUCUCUUACUCAACAAGACAUUUACAUCAGUAUAUAUAGAUACAAUUAUAUUGACAUAAUUGACCUCAACAUUCAGAAACUAAUUACACAUUCACCCUUGUCUAACUGACUCCAAAUAUACAAUUACUACUUGAGUCUUUACACCCCCUCAAGCUGAGACUUGGGACAUGAAAAUGACCAAGAGGAAGCUUGGAUUGCAGAAAACAGAAUCUGUGUUUUGAAAGGGAUUUGGUGUGAAUAUCAGCCAAUUGAUCUUGGCUGCAAACAUAAAGCACUUUAAUCAAAUGCGCCAAUACUAACUCCCGAAUGUAAUGAUAAUCCACUUCUACAUGCUUUGUCCGAGCAUGAAACACAAAUUGGAGGCAAGAGAAAUGGCUGAAAUGUUAUCACACCAAAGAGUUGGAACGGUAGACAGGGGAAAGUGGAUAUCAGAAAACACCUUGCAAAUCCAGGUGAUUUCAGCGGCAGUAUGUGCUAAAGCUCGAUAUUCAGCUUCGGUGGAGGACCGGGCAACAGUGGGUUGCUUUUUAGCAUUCCAACUGAUCAGAUUGGGACCUAAGAAAACACAGAAGCCAGUAGUAGAUCGUCUAUCAAAAGUACAACCGGCCCAGUCAUCAUCAGAAUAAGCAGUGAGGGCAAGAGAACCCUUUUUAAACCAAAGACCUUGAGUAAGAGUGCCUUUGAGAAAUCGAAGAAUGCGUUUGACAGCUUGCAGGUGUUGUUCCCGUGGUGAAUGCAUGAACUGACAAACUUGGUUUACAGCAAAGGAGAGAUCAGGCCUGGUCCAAGUGAGAUACUGUAAACCACCCACUAUAGACCUGUAUUCAGUGGGAUUAGAGAGUAAAUGACCACUGUGAUCAAGUUUAGUGGUACCAAGAGGAGAGACACAAGGCUUGGCACCUGCCAUAUUUGCCUUGUUUAGAAGAUCAAGAGAGUAUUUACUUUGAUGCAUGAAGAGGCCUUCAGAAUUGCGUUGCACCUCCAAACCCAAAAAAUAAUGAAGAGGGCCCAUAUCCUUAACAGGAAAUGCUUGGCUAAGUUUGUGAAUGAAGUGUUGGCAGAGAAUGGCAUUUGGUCCGGUGACAAGAAUGUCAUCGACAUAGACCAAAACAAGAACAGGAGCUGAAGCUUGAAGAACAAAUAGAGAAGCAUCAGAGGAGGACUGCUUAAACCCAAGAGUGCACAGAACUUGGAACAGUUGAUCAAACCAAGCCCUGGGGGCUUGUUUUAAACCAUACAGAGAUUUCUUGAGGUGGCAGACAUGACUAGGAAGAUUGGAGUCAAUGAAACCAGGGGGCUGAGUCAUAAAAACAACUUCCUUGAGAUCUCCAUGUAAAAAGGCAUUGCUAAUGUCCAAUUGAUGGAGAAACCAGUCAUGUUGAACAGCCAAGGUUAACAGAAUACGAAUGGUGACAGGCUUAGCUACUGGACUGAAAGUAUCUUGAUAGUCAACACCCUCUUUUUGAUGAAAUCCUUUGGCCACUAACCGAGCCUUAUACCUGUCCACCGUACCAUCAGGUUUUCUCUUAAUUCUGAACACCCAUUUGCAACCAACAAUGUUCUGAGACGGAGAGUGGGGUACCAAAUGCCAAGUACCAGUGAGUUGAAGAGCAUUAAACUCUUCCUGCAUAGCUUGUCUUCAGUGGGCAUACUUGGAGGCUUGUAAGUAUGUGGAAGGAACAAAAUCAACAUCAACAGGUAAAUGAUGUUUUGUGGCAGAAUAUGCUUUUGGUUUAAAAAUACCAGCCUUUGAGCGAGUAAGCAUAGGAUGAGUAUUAGGAGCUGUAGAAUGUGAAACAGUAGGAUGAGUAUUAGGAACUGGAGAAUGUGAUACAUAAUUUGAGGAUGAUGGUGGGGAAGAAACAUGCUCAGUGAAAGGGGUAGUGGAUUGAACUGGAGAAGGGCGCUGGGGAAUAGAGAAGUGCAAAUCAAUAGGGGAAGGUGGAGAGUGAGACCCCGGAGAAACCGCCACAGAUGAAGAAGAAAGAAAUGGAAACUGGUUUUCAUUGAAUUGAACAUGGCGGGAGAUAUAGAUUCUCUGAGUAGUAGGAUCAAGACACCGAUAGCCCUUGUGCUGCAAACUAUAGCCCAAAAAUACACAUUCUGUACUCUUCCCAUCUAACUUGGAGUGAACAUAUGGCUUUAACCAGGGAUAACAGGAGCAACCAAAAACCUUCAACUUGGAAUAAUCGAGAAUAGAGUUGAAUAAAAGUUCCCAUGGAGACUGAUUCAAACUGGAAAUAGGCAGGCGAUUGAUCAGGUAGACUGCAGUAGAAAAGGAUUCAACCCAAUACAAAUGAGGAACUUUAGAGGCAACUAAUAGAGUCCGUGCGGUCUCAACUAAAUGUCGGUGCUUUCGUUCAACACAGCCAUUCUGUUCAGGUGUGUGAGGACAGCUAAGUUGAUGAGAUAUACCAUGAUCUUGAAGAAAAGAUUUAAACUUGUUACUAGUAAAUUCACCCCCUGAAUCAGACCUCAAACAUUUGAUUUUAUUACCAACAGAAUUCUCAACAUAGGUCUUGAAUACAACAAAAGUAUAAUAUACAUCAGAUUUGGCCUUUAAAGGAAAGAACCAAGAGUACUUGCUGUAAUCAUCCACUAUUAACAUAUAGUACUGGUAACCACAGGCAGAAAUGACAGGAGCAGGGCCCCAAACAUCACAAUGUAACAAACUUAAACUAGUAGUAGAAGUAGAACUAGAGGGAUGAAACGGUAGCUUGUGAUUCUUAGCAAUUGCACAGUCCGAGCAGAAGAAAUCAACAGAAUGUUUUCCCUGCAGUGCAAGCUUAUUGGCAGAUAGAACGCGCCUGAAGAUGGCAGAUGAAGGAUGCCCCAAGCCACUGUGCCAAAUAUUCACAGGUGCUUUAGGACCGACUAAAGCAUGAGGAGAUGAACAAGAUGAAGAGAAAGAAGCAGGGAUACCUUGAAAAGUAUAGAAACCAUUAUUAACCGUUCCCUGCAAAAGCAUCUUCCCCGUAGAACGAUCCUUAACAACAGAGCCAUUGGAAUGCAAAGUCAAAGAGCAGGAAUUAUCCUUGAGAAAUUGAUAUGCAGAGAGUAAAUUGUGCUUCAUUUGCGGAACAUGUAACACAUUGUUCAACUUAAAAGAGGCAUGAGCAAUAUUUAACAAUGUACUGCCAGUAUGAUGAAUGGACAAACCUUUUCCAUCGCCGAUAUACACUUUAUCUUCACCAGUGUAAGGAGUAGGAGAAGAAAUAUUGGAGAUGUCAUGGGUGAUAUGAGAUGUAGCACCAGAAUCUAAAAUCCAUGAAAGAGAUGGUUUAGAAGCAUAAUGAGUAUACAUGGCAGCAAGUUUAGUAGGGGGUACUUUCCCAAAGAUAUCUGGAUUCAUCCGAUCAUAGCAAUCAAUAGCUUCAUGACUUGAGGAUCCACAAAUUUGACAAUUGGUACGAACUCCAGGAUUAUUAGAAGAACGAAAGCCAGGAUUGUUGAACCUUUGGAAACCAGAAUUAGAGUGAGAGCCCCUGUUGUUGCCAAGAUAGUUUCGAUUGCCUCUGUUGUUGUGAAAGCGAUUAUUGUUCCGACCACGAUUAGAGUUGUAGCGAGAAGAAUUCUGCAUAGGUUGAUGUUGAGUGGCAUAAGCUUGAGAAGAAUGUGGUGUAGGAAGGAGAGGCGGUUGAUUCUGAGUAGCAUAAGCAUGAACUGGUUCAGCAACAACUGAUUUCUUUCGACCAGCCAUUGACAAUUCUUUAGUAAGAAGAAGACCAUGCAGUUCAUCCAAAGUAGUCGAGGAGAGGCAACGAGUAAUAGAAUCAACAAAGGAGUCAAAUUCCUCUGGUAAACCAUGCAAUGUAGCAGCAAUCAAGUCACGAUCGGACACAGAGGCACCAGCAGCUGUUAAAGAAUCAGAAAUUGCUUUAAUUUGCUGGAGAUACUCAGAGAUCGAUUGAGAGCAUUUCUGAAGAGAUUGAAGACGAGAGCGAAGCUGAUGAAUAUGAGCAUCGGAGAUGCCACCAAACCUCUGUUCCAAUUUGAGCCAUAGAUCUCGAGAAGAAGAAACACCAACUGUGAAAGGAAUAAUCUCCUCCGAGAGUGUAGAAUUCAACCAAAUCAAGAGAUUUUGAUCUUUUUCGUACCACUGUUCAAACGCAGGAUUGAGGGAGCGAUCAGCCAAGAGAGGAGAGGGACAAGGUUCAGAACCAUCAAUAACACCGAGAAGUUUGUAGCGACGAAGAAUUGGGGCAAAGAGUGCUUGCCAAGGAAGAUAAUUGGAACUCUUAAGCUUGAUCGGAACCAUACUUCCAAUGUUCUGAAUCGUGAGAGAGGUAUAGCUUGGCACCAAAUUAGGGUUAGGAGAAGAGGAAUUGGGGAGAGAAGAUGACAAAUCAGACGCCAUGGUGGAUGAUACAGGCAAGAUUCAACCAAAUAACCACACAAAAGACAGAGAAGAAGAAGCACCAGGGAUCAGAUCAAACCAGAGAGCGAAGCGGAGAAGCCGUGAGACCAGAGAUCGGAGCGGAAAAGCCGUGAGACCGCGAGGACAGAUCGAGGCACCGUGAGAUUAGAUCGAACCAGAGAUCGGAUCGAAGAAGCCGUGAGGAUCGAAGAGUCACCAAGCAGGAAGGCGGUGACAACGGUGACGAGAAGGAUCGAAGAUUCACCAAGGCCAUGAGGCGGUGGCGAUUGAUACCAUAUUGAAACUUAGCUUUCAGAGAGUUCAGAGAUAAAAAAAUAUCUUCUCCUUAUUUCACUUUCUUACUCAACAAGACAUUUACAUCAGUAUAUAUAGAUACAAUUCUAUUGACAUAAUUGACCUCAACAUUCAGAAACUAAUUACACAUUCACCCUUGUCUAACUGACUCCAACUAUACAAUUACUACUUGAGUCUUUAUCAUGUACCUGAAACUUGGAAAAUUUUCUAACUUGGGAAACAAGCAAUAUUCUUGUUGCAACUUUAUAUAUACACCGGACUGCCGAGUAGUGAUUAUUUAAUAAAUAAUCUGAUACGUAAUCUGGUGACAUGUAAAUUACAAACAGGUUUUAUACUCAUGAGAGUGCUAAUGUCCUGUAAAUACAAUGUUUACAUUUCAUUUCCAUUGUCCAUACAGUUUCGACGCACACGUUUAAUUUACAAAUGAGCGAGUGAAGGUUGCGUAAAGAUGUAAACUUCGUCGAAUCCCCUCCUGCAAUCGGAAAGCGUAGGACAACCAAGUUAAUAAAUCCAUGCACAAAUCCAAAAUAAUAAUGCAGUUUGAAGUUCAGUUUUUGGUUUACCCAGCCUUCCCACAAAAAGUGGGACUGUAGUUGUAGAUGAGAUUGUCAAGGACUUCCCGGACAGGCGGUCUGUUUAAUGACUUCCUUGCCUCACUGCAUCACAAAUUCAAAAUUAGACUAAGUUUUGGGUCCGCAAUCAUUCCGGUUGAAUAAACUUAAGUGAAUUUUAAAGUUGUAGAUGCAUAUUCUGAAUUCUGAAAUAUGACACCGUGAAAAGUUGUUAAUACAGUAGAACCUCGAUAAUUGAAUAAACAAAUAAUGCGGUUAUCUGAAGACUCUGAACCUUAAAUUUUCCACUUUUUUUUUUCUACCCCUGCCCUCCAGACAAAGUUGAAAAGCACAGCGGUUUAAUUAGAACUAAAAGACAGAUACAGAAGGAGCCCUAACCUGACCAAGAAGUUUGCAGCGUGCUGGGUCACUUGAAUAGCAUCCUCUGAGUGCGGAAUCAUUGGUAAGCCCCAUUCGAAAGCAUUUUUCUGCAUCUUAAUUAGUUAGUCUUCUCAUACUUGAAACAAAUCCGUCGGAAUAAUCUAAUAAGUCCAGAUUUUCUCAAAGGUCUUUUGCUUUUCCCAAUUCUUAGUUAUGCAAAAUUGUACAGGUUCCACGGUAAUAAUUAUUGAAAAUCUUUCUUAAGAACACAAAUAUAGUAAUAUUGGAAGUGUCUUAAGUAGAACUAGUUAGUGUUUUAUGUGCCAAUCUUUCAUACAAAGAUGGUACGAAAAGCAAACUUUGAUAAUUACGCAAUCAUAGCUUCUCCUCCACAAGGUUGUGAAUACAUCUUACGUAGAAAUCCUUGCAGAUGCAUAUUCAAAUAUAAAAAGCCUCGAGAUGGUUCCAUAUUCAACACUGUUAAUGUGCUGUUGCUUAUAUUGAUAAAUUUAGAGUUAAUAGUAGCAUUAAAGACGACGAAAGAAAUAUUGUGGUAAUACCUCUGGAUGCCAUUGGAAGGCAGUCACAGGAUAGUUGUAUGCGUGUACUGUGGACACAUAGACCUGGCAUUAGUGUUACUGCAACAGUUAGAAUCUUCAGGGGAAUAAAAUGAAUUGGGGAACUUGAAUAGAGAGAUGUUUCAUGACAUGGUGAAACCACAUAACCAAACGAGAUAGUUACAUUCAGUACCUUAUCAUCUUCAUCAGUACAAGUUGUCAAGAUCUUAAAGAAACUUGACAGGUUCUCGUUCUCCAUAAGCCUCUCUGGUGAGAUACCAUACUGUUGCGUUGAAUCAUUACAAACUUAUGUUAGAAAACCUAAACCAUGCUUUCUAAGCAUAAGUAUAACCAUAUGGAUAAGAACAGCAGAAAAACAAAAUGCACGGUACAAGAAGCAUAAAUCAACAGAAAGAACGAAAAUCAUAAUAACUCAUAAUCCAAGAUAUUCUCAAAACACAGCCAUUUGUCUCAUCAAUCUUGUCGAUGACUGGACAAACUCAGAAUCAUAAUGAAACAAUCUAAACUUCUCAACUGAAGCUAAUUAUAUAUGUUUUGAAGUGGUUUUGCCUUUGCUAAAUGAAAAAACAAACUGAACAAUUAUAAGAUUUGACCAAGUAAAUGGUUUUCGAUUUGAUAAUUCAGGAUCAAUCCAUGCAUAAAUGAUAUAUUUGAUAACUAUGUCUAGCUUCAAGGAAAGAACCUUUAGAUUAGAACUCACUUUAUGGUUUUGCAUUACAAGACAAUCUGUACUCAACUUCUUAAGCAAGUCCGGAGGAAAUCUGCAAAAGUAAAAAAUUAAUUUAUUGGCUGAAGAAGUUAAAUCACCCUGGAUGUACAGUAACAUAAAAGAAACUUCCAUGCUAAUUCAUAGAACAUCAACCCUCCUCCUUAAUAAUCAGAACGAAGGUCAUAAAGAUCAGACAAGGAUGAUGUCUAGCAUGCUCUAUUGACGUCUACACCGCUUAACCCUACUGAUUAGGCCGAAGUACAUAAAUUUCUCGUGUUCAGUCCUAUUUAAGGGAAUGUUCCUCUCUAAAAUCUGUGACAAGCAUGCUAGCUGCAGGGAAGCUAGCUUGAAUGAUGGUUGGGUUUUUCAUAAAGAUAGAUAUUUAAUUUUAUAAGAAUCAAACAAAAAAUUACAGAAGAGAGAUUAGAACACCCCCCCCCCCCCGGAAAAAAAAAAAAUUUAAGAUAACUUCUAGAGGCCCUACAGUUAAUACAUUUCGGUUAUAGGCGUAUAAAUCAAUAGCAUUUCAAGAAUUCGCAUACUCAUAGACAUCCUCACAGUUUGUUUUGACUAAGGAUCUAAGAUCGGUAAUCAAUGCACAACAUGUUUGAAGAAAAAGUUUCAAAGUAAAAUUAUUUUGCAUAAGACUAGAACAAUGACAUACAAAUUGAGUCAGGAAAACCACAUUCCAAGAUUUAUACCUUUGAAAAACAGUUCCUUCAAUAACGGCGUUCUCGGUAAAUUGUAAAGUUGAGGCCACAUCUACUGCACUGAAUGUCUCCAGAAUUUUCUUGUUCUAGAAGGAAGAAAGAAAGUUGUGGAAAUCAUAAAAUUGUGAAAAAUAUAUUAAGAAUGAUGCAUCAAUAAGGAUAAAAAAAAAUAAACUCGACGACUUAAAAGUAGACUACAACUAAUUGACAUGACUAAGGUGAUUCAGAUUGAAAGGAAUACUGUGACAAUUCUAAUAAAAGAAAUUGAACUGCAAUUGCAUAUUUCAAUGUUGGAUGUCAAGUUGUAAAUGGAUGCACCCUCACUAAAGACUAUUCUUUUCAUAGUCUCAAGUUGUAUGCCCACUAAAGAAACCAAGAAAGGCCAUUCUCAAACGAAGAAACAAGGCACUUGGUAAAAUAGUUUUGAAUUGCAAUUGUCGCCCUAAAAAACAGAUGUGCUGGUUUUGCUUCUUUUAGAAAUUGAAUCAUUUAAAGCGCCAUCACCCAUCAGAAUGUACAAAUUUGAUCAUUUACAGUGGCUACUUAAGCAUUUAUGCAUUCAAAUACUUAGGCAUUUAUGCAUUAAAAAAGGUGAAAGAAAUGCAAUUUGAAUGACGAGGCUGAAUUCUUAUGGAAAAACAGUGUACUUUGAGAAGGAUAGUUUACCUUGCUGAUGAUCAUUGUUAGAAGUUCAAAACCUAAGCAGGUGGCGUAUAAUGGAAAAUGAUCUCCAGCGUCAUUCUUCUCUAUAAUUUUCUGCAGAAAACAGAUACAAACGUCGCUAAUAAAUAUGGAAUGGAACUAUGGACGAAUUCUUAAGAAAAGCAAUGAAACUAAAUUCUUAAGAGAAGCAAUGAAACUAUCCUAAAAGAAUUUCAAUUUACUGGAAAUCUUUAUGAUGCAGAGAGCCCUGAAGCAUCUAAGGUUAGCCAACGAUGACAACAAUGUCAUGGUUCUAAAUCUAAUGCAAAAAAUCGAACUUUGACUCUAAACCCCUAUUUAGUGGUUAGGCUGACCAUUCUAUCUAACCAGUAUCUAUCAAAUUUUCUUUCGUCUAGUGUUGGCUGGCAAACAGAGAAUGAUCCUUCAUGCUGAUGAUCAUAGGCAAUGACAUGAUAUUGGGCUUGGUAUGAUGUCAAUUUUGACCUCUAAAAACCUAAACCCUAUUAAGAAUCAUGAUUCUUAUGCUGCCAAGUCCCGCCAAUACUAAACUGAUCGAGUAACGAUUUAGAUCAAUUUAAGUUUGAACGAAAGAUCGGAGUUCUUUUUCAUAAAACUGAGUCCAGACAAGCAACUAAAGCACAUCAAGGGGUUGUGGCAUGUUCUACAAUGACCAAUUUUCUAUGUAGAAAAUAGAGUCUUCUGCUUGUUUAGCAGAAACUUGACUCCGUAGUAUAUAAAAGUUAGAUUUAAAUGGUCUGCCUGGCAAACCAGGACUAUAAUGUUAGUGUAGAUCAUGCACUAAAGGGUUACUAUAUCAAGCACUAAAUUACCUUAAAUAUUCUCUCGGCAACGUCAUAGUACAAACCACUUUUAGCCCAUCCUCCAGUGAAAAGCACGCCAUUGACGAGGUCGAGCUUCUGCAAAGCAGCAUUAUAUAGUGAGCAACAUAACAAAAUCACUGCGACAGGCCGGCUUAGUUUAUAUAUGCACACAUAUUGAAACUUAUAUAAAUGAACAGCCAGUAUUCACACCAACUUCAAUUUUUGAUUCUUAGCCCAAAAAAUAAACGAAAGCUUUCGAAUUUCGAUUAGAAAGGCCAAUACAAAAACUGGGUCGUUUAUAUAAAUGUGGUUUCUCCAGCUAAAACAAAAGAGCCUAUACAAAUAUCAUAUGCCAAUUUUAAGCACCUCUUCUGAGUAAAGUUAACUCAACCCAUGAUGUGCUUCUUUGAAAAGCAGCUUUAACGUAAGCAACACAGAAGCAACUUCUAUAAAAAGCUCAAUUUGUUAUGGUGAUCACCUGGAAAAGUAUAUCGGGAGGCUCGUUGUAGAUGAGAGGAAUAACACGAGCUCCAGCCGAUUCAACGAACUUGACGUAAGAAGCUGCGAUAUACGACGCCGUGGAGGCGUUGCUCAGCCGGCCGGAAGCGCCGUCGCCAGGGUGGCUCAGGAUACCGAUCACCGGCCUGUAGUUGAUCUUGGGGUCGGGGGCCGUACACUUGGACGAGGACGAGUCCGAUGUUCGGAGUUGACUCGGCAAGAGAAUCGGCGCCUGGGCUUUGGCCAAGGGCAGCUCUUUGGACAAGGAGAUUAGGAAAGGAAUCCAGAGGUAGCUCCACAUCUCUGCCCUGCCGGUGUGGUUUUUGGUGAGACGGCAGCGGUUUGGACGUCGGAGGGGUCGGGUGUUGGGGUGGACGUGGAAUGAGUGAGGAAGCUGGAGGGCAUUUAGGGGAAGAACUGCCUAGGAAGUGUUUUAGUAGCAAUCUGGAUAAGAGGAGGAAGGGGAGGAAGGUGGUAUGACAUUGACUGGUGAUUGUUACGUGAAAGGAAGCCAACAAAAACGUUGUCAUGUCUUACACUUAAUUUUUUCUUUACUUCGAACUAAUUCAAAUUAUAAAGAGUAUUCGAACUUUGAGGGUAUAUGAAUAACAUAUCCAUUUUGGCUAGUUUGGUUAAAUUAAACUCACAUUUGAAUGUAAUACUUGAUCAUUUUUCCCUUAUUAUUCUUUGGUUUAGAAGUGGGAACAAUUAAGUUCGAUUUGAUUCCUCGUAAACUUGAAAACUACAUUGUUAAAUAUGUUUGGUUUGGUUAUGCUUAGUUUAGUCUGGUUUCAUUCAAGAUUUUCACGUAAGCAAAAUAAGACAAAAGUAUUUACAACAAAAACUUUCCUUUCUCUCUUCCUGAGAGACCUUCCCUCUGUGUGAGGGUUAAUAUCACCGAUCUGUGUGAGUGGUUCCCAAUCGAGUCCAAUUCCGGUGCCGCCUAGGAUCGGUGGGUUUUCUUUUGUUUCUUUCUCCAUCUCUUUCUCCUCUUCCAUCCGCUGUUUUCUUCCCUGAUUUUCUUGGUUGAUUUGCCUUCUUCUCUCCCCUUCGCUGUCUCUCAUCCAUAUUCAUCCAAUUUUCAAGCUUCAGUCACCUUUUGCCGCGAUUUGUUGUGGUGUUUCGAGUUGGUGUGCUUUGAUCUGGUGCUUGCACUGGGUCAGGUGUUCCUUGCACCCCACCUUCUCUUUGUUGUCUGUCCUUGUUGGCAGUGUUGCUCGUGGACUGCCAUGAGCUUCUUUCACUUGUCUGCAGGUUCUCUGGUGUUUGUAGCUGGGCUUGGAGUGAAGCUUGGAAUUGGCCGUUGGUAUCAGACAGGGCCCCAAAUUCAAUCAAACAACAUCAUCAAGCUAAACCCAUAAAAGCCUACUACUCAAAGAGAGCCUAACUUCGUUAGAAACCCUAAUUCGAAGAUGCUCUUAAAGAGCCUAAUUUGGCCAUCUAAUCAUCAAUAAUUUGGAGUCAUUUAUUACUGGAUUUGACAUCAAUAGUAGAGAAUAAACAAAUUUUCCUUUAAUAUUUCGGAGGAUGAAUCUGCGGAGAUGUUUGAGUGGUGAAUUGAUUAAAUUAUUAAGUUUUGUAGUUUGAUUUUUUUUUUUAGUCAAAGGUUACUAUUGUGAACACGAAAAUUUUCUGAAACGAAAGAGACAAGAACAACGUGCACAAAAUAAUAUUUGUAUUUUUGAUGAUUUUGGGUUACAAUCUCUCUCAAAUUUGAUCAUCUGAUUCGAUCUCCGUAAGGUAUUGAUUUGUGGAUGUUUCGUUGAUCCAAGGGCCAUCGAGGCUUGAUCUUGGAUGAACUGUUGGAAGUUUCUUCAAGGGGCCGUGGGCUUGAUCUUUGAAGGUGGAUUUGAGCGGAUCUUCAAGGAGCCGUUGGGGCUUGAUCUUGAGGAUGAGUGUUUCUUCAAGGGCCGUUGAGGCUUGAUCUUGAAUAAUGGUGAUGAACGGGUCUUCAAGGGCUUUUGGGCUUGAUCUUGAAGAACAGUGAUGAACGGAUCUUCAAGGGCUUUUGGGCUUAAUCUUGAAGAACGGUUGGAUGUGUGGAUUUGUCAACGUUGUUGAUCCAAAGGGCCGUUGGGGCUUGAUCUUGGAUGAACGGAUGAUGAACGAUGGUGCUUUCUUCAAGGGCCGUCGGGGCUUGAUCUUGAAUUGGUGGAAGUUCUUCAAGGGGGCCUUUGGGGCUUGAUCUUGGAAGAACGAUGAACGAAGAACGAAGAACACUUUCUUCAAGGGCCGUCGGGGCUUGAUCUUGAAUUGGUGGAUGAUUGUUAAUCCAAGGGCCGUCGGGGCUUGAUCUUGGAGAACGAUGAACGAAGAACGAAGAACGCUUUCUUGAUUCUUCAGGAACCUGGAUGCUUGAGAGCUUCGGAGUUUCAGAGCUUCAGAGCUUCAAGAAUUUUGCCUAAUGAUUUUGGUUCCUCUCAAAUGAAUGAAAUUGGCUUCUAUUUAUAGAAUUUUCUAAGGCCUAAUUUUGAAUAUAAUAUUCCAGAUGAAAUAAGUCGUUUCUGCCAGGUGUUGACACGUGUCCUGUUUGAUGACUUUUCCGAUGAUUCUCGAUUUUUUGUUUAGACACACGCUACGUGUAAAAUUUAUGUAAUACAUGAACGCUGAAACUUUGAUUUAUCGGUCAACAUUUAUUUACUGAAAUUUCAAUGUCUACAACUAUAUUACCACAACACAAUUAAUUACACAAAUUGAGGUCCAUAUACAAGAAAAAAAUAGACCUCAAUAGUAACCCAAAUACCCAAAACAAAAAAAACACAGAAGUUAACCCUAACUGCUUUCCUUUAACGGCAUCGUCGAAUGCACCGAUCGCGACGAUCAGGAGCCUACACCACCAACUUUCGCCAAGAACCCACAUCUCAAAGAUGGAAAUAAGAUGAAUUUCGCCUUCCAACAUAUACCAUCUCACUGAUCGUAGCCAUUGAUUGAGAGAAACCAAAGAAGCCCGUGGGAUCGCCACGGACAACAUUGCCAGAAAUGGUAGACAAAGAGAAGAAGGUGGUGUUGCCACCCAAGCUGGUGAAAACUCCGGAUCUCUACGCACCUUCUCAGUUGAAGACCGCAUCACUUCACGGUUAAAAUUGAUUACAAAUUGGAAUGGAGAUUGAGUUGGUGAAAGCCAAAAUAAGAACAUGUCUAUGGAUGGAUGGAAGAUCUGAUAUGAGGGCAACAGAUGUACCUGUGAAAAUCGAGGUGAAUAUGGAAAUCAAAAUAGGAAGGAAAGCAAGAAAAACACCAGAAGUAGAAGAAAGAGGAAACAAAGGAAGAAGGAAGGGCUGCCACCGACCCUAAUCAGAAUUAGGGCCGGCAACAAAGGAAAAUCUCAAGUGUUGCUGCUGCUCUCACUCAUGGAGAGAAUUAUAAUUUUAGGUUAAAACCCUUCAAAUUCGGAUCGUGUUCACCCCUAAACCCAAACAAGAAUAAAUAGAACACAAUUAUAAAUUCAUUAUAUGUUUCAGUUACUGAAAGUCAUUUUAAUAUUAAAUUACAACACGAGGUAUAAAUUAUGUAUAUUGUAAUGUCAUUGCGUCAAUAUAUCAAAUGUAUACAAGAUUUUCCGUAGAGCAAUUUUUUUUUUAUCUAGAAUUUCACUCCAACAAAAAAAUACAGAAUUCAGAGUAUGACAAGCUUUUUAGUGAGUAGUCAUGCGCGUAUGUUUAUCACUUCAUGUAUAACAUCGAAGUCAAAUUAUGUACAGAAGUAAUUAGUACAUAAAGCGUAAGUCUUCUGUUUUGUAGCUAAUCUUCAACUAUGAAAUAGAACUCGUCACAAAAAAAAAAAAAAAAAAAAAAAAAAAAACUAUGAAAUAGAACCACGUGAUCAGCAAUUUGUUAAAAUAAAAUUACCCAAAUUUUUAUGUUUAGGGUUUCUGGGUGUUGGUUUUCAAGCUGCCUAAGUUUGACUAGGUGGAAGAAACCAGUAUACACAAAAAAGAAACUAUUUAAUUACGUCCUUGCUAUUACAUAACUUACAUUAGGAUUAAAAUACGUAACGUAAUUCACAAGUCUAUGUUUAACUACUAAUGUACUCUUACGAUAAUUAACCGGUGAUAUUAUUCAUAUACCAAAAAUCAACCAAUAAAUUUAAGUAGUUACAGUGACAAAUCAUUUUCAUCUUCUUUUUAUGCUUUAUGGAAAAGAUUCCAAUGAAUAUAAGGUCAAACUAUUAAGUAAUCCUUACUGAGCAGUAAUCAGCAUCUAGUAGAUUAAUCAGACUUGCAAAGUUGCAGUACAGUAAAGGCAUUGGAACUUCUUACUCUUGAUAUUCAGAAAAAAUAAAGCAUACUGUUGAUGCACAAAAUCAGUGAGGACUUUGGUAUAAUAGAAAGUGUUAAGUUUAUGACCUUCGUUAGAUUGCUCCGGUCACUAGUGUGGACAAGUAUGUAAAUGGAUAGGGACAGGGAAGCAAACACAAGAUGUACGUGGUUCACCCAGAUUGACUACGUCCACGUAGUAGAGGAGUUCUCAUUAAUUGUGAAAGGUUUACACAAGUACAUAGGUUCAAGCUCUCCUUUAGUGAGUACUAGUGAAUGAUUUAAUACAAAUGACAUUCAGAAAUAUUGUGAGAGAAUGAUCUCUAUUCAUAGAAGAGAGUUUCUAGUUUCAUUCUGACAUUGAUACGUGUCGUGUUGUGAUUGGCUUCUGAUGUCGACACGUGUCGCGCUGUGAUUGGCCUUCUGGUUGGAAGGAAACUCUUAUGGGUCCUUGACGGUAUAACGUUGACCGGUGCUCAGCUUUUGUUGAAAAUUGUAGUUACCCUCCAUUGAUGAAGCUUUUGUUGGCACCAUAAAUUGGUUUUGCUUCACACUUUCUUGAUCAAGAGUGUGUGAAGCUUUUGAGAAUUGUGGUUGAACUUCUUUGAUGAAGCUUUUGUUGGCACCAUAAAUUGGUUUUGCUUCACACUGUCUUGAUCAAGAGUGUGUGAAGCUUUUAAGAAUUGUGGUUGCACUCUAUUGAUGAAGCUCUUGUUGGCACCAUAAAUUGGUUUUGCUUCACACUGUUUUGAUCAAGAGUGUGUGAAGCUUUUGAGAAUUGUGGUUGAACUCCUUUGAUGAAGCUUUUGUUGGCACCAUAAAUUGAUUUUGUUUUACAUUGUCUUGAUUAAGAGUGUGUGAAGCUUUUGAGAAUUGUGGUUGCCCUCCAUUGAUGAAGCUCUUGUUGGCACCAUAAAUUGGUUUUGCUUCACACUGUCUUGAUCAAGAGUGUGAAGCUUUCUACGAGUUGUAGUGUUUGCAUUGUUACAGAGGGAAAAUGUCUGAAGUAGAUGCAAGAGGGCUGAAUAGCUUGAUCUUCGUACACCAUGCACUGAAGUUGUUGUUGGCUUGCAAUAAGACUUUGUUGGUGACUAUAACUCUUGUUGGGAAUAAGUGUUCUCCUAGUUGAGUUGUCAAGCUUAAGGGUUUUUGAUUAUUUGUGAAUGCUAGGAGUUCACAUGUACAAGUUGUACCACUCGUCUUCUGGUAGGUGGAAUGAAUGGUGAGUUGCUUUCAUCACUUGGUUGGUGGUACGAAGGUGAGUUCUUUCAUCACCUUUCAUCACCUGGUUGGUGGCAUGAAUGGCAAGUUGCCAAAUAAUAUUAGAGUAUGGGUUGUACAUUUCAUCACCUGGUUGGUGGCAUGAAAGAGAGUACGGGUUAUACACAUCACCUGGUUGGUGGCAUGAUGAUGAGUUCCUUCUUCACUUGGUUGGUGGCAUGAGUGACAAGUUGUCAAAUGAUAUUAGAGUACUGGUUGUACAUUUCAUCACCUGGUUUGUGGCAUGAAGGAGAGUACGGGUUGUACAUUUCAUCACCUAGUUGGUGGCAUGAGUGGCAAGUUGCCAAAUGAUAUUAGAGUACGGGUUGUACAUUUCAUCACAUGGUUGGUGGCAUGAAGAAGAGUACGAGUUGUACAUUUCAUCACCUGGUUGGUGGCACGAAGAUGAGCUCAUUCUUCACCUGGUUGGUGGCAUGAAUGGCAAGUUGCCAAAUGAUAUUAGAGUACGGGUUGUAUAUUUCAUCACCUGGUUGGUGGCAUGAAGAAGAGUACGGGUUGUACAUUUCAUCACCUGGUUGGUGGCAUGAAGAUGAGUUUCUUCUUCACCUGGUUGGUGACAUGAGUGGCAAGUUGCCAAAUGAUAUUAGAGUACGGGUUGUACAUUUCAUCAUCUGGUUGGUGGCAUGAAGGAGAGUACGAGUUGUACAUUUCAUCACCUGGUUGGUGGCAUGAAGAUGAGUUCCUUCUUCACAUUUCAUCACCUGGUUGGUGAGAAUAAGGGUAAGGUGUCAAGGCACAUUGUAGCAAGUGUCAAAGACACAAAGUAUGUUGAACCCUUUCGAAGCACAGUUGGCUUAUGUAUGGAUGUGUUGGAAUGUAUGAUGUUUAUGUUGAAUGUAUGUAUGAUGUAUAUGUAUGGAAUGUAUGAUGUUUAUGUAUGAAUGUGUUGGAAUGUAUAAUGUUUAUGUCGAUUGAUAUGAGUGAUGCUUAUGAAUGUUUUGCUAUGCAUGAAGGGAUCCAUGCUUUUGAUAUGUGAGCCAUGUUGGUUGUAACACUUAGUAUCACAUACUUUAUGUUAAAGUAUGCAUGUUGAAGCUCUGAGUUGGAGUAUAAGGGUAGGUCAGCGUAGACCAAGUGUUUUAGUGCUAGGAAUGCAAAAGACUCAGAAGAAGUUGUCUGAAUUCCCUCUUCUUUAAAUAUUUGCCGAAUAGCUUGUGUGACAAAAGAUCUCAAGCGGUUGAGAGUCAAAACAUUUGUAAUGUGUAUGCCUUCUUAUAAUAGCAUUUCCUUCAGUACCUAGUCCUCCACUUUGAAAGAGUGAGGCUUGGCCCCAUAGUCAUAAUAGUCGAUUGUACGUUCACCCCUGGUUAUCUUGAUACGAACUUUUAUCCCUCUUGUUGUAAUGGGCUUGCUAAGAAUAAACAUCCUUCCUCUUACCAAGAGACAUAUAUGUUUGGUGACUUAACAAGUAGCUAAAUGAGGCAUGAGAUGAUGCAAUAGGUGUCUGAAUGGCCAAUAUCUCCUCACUUGGUAGAACUUGACUUCCACUUCCCAUUUAUUGAUAGGGGUUAACCAUAUCGGGGUUCCCUUGGUAUGUCCUUACUUCGGCGGAGGCAUGGUUGUAAGCAUGUGCCAUCACCUUAGAGUAAGUCUUCCAAGUGUUGGCAUUGAUCAUGUACUUGAAGAAACAAUCAUGUAGGCCUGCCGUGAAGGCCUUGAGGGCGGUCUUGUCAUCUGCCUCAGCGCAGUGAGAAUACUCAUGGCUGAAGCGACCGGCAUACUCUCGUAGUGACUCGUCCGGCUUCUGACGAAUAGUAUACAAGUCAUCUGCAUAAUACAAGUGAUCGGUCUGGAAGAUCUGUUGAGAGACAAACAAUUUCCUCAAUUCCUCAAAUGAGUCUACUGUCUUAGGUGGAAAACGACAAUACCAGUUUAGAGCUUCGCCAGAGAGGGUGGAGGGGAAGAGAAGCCAUCGCUCUUCGUCGGUGUGCAUCCGAUAUGCCAUGGUAGACUUAAAGAGGUUAAGGUGUUCAAUUGGGUCCUCAUUUCCAGUAUAGAGUUGUAGUCCAAGCUUUUGUUUUGUCUUCGCUUGAAGAGGGGUGUCGAGGAUCCUUCUUGUGAGAGGGCCAGGCCUGGGUUGGUUCCAGUCAGGUAUCCCGGCCUGAUGUUCAGCCUUCAACUUGUUUACUUCCUAAAGGAGCUGUAGGACAAGGGGGUCCUAAGUGGAGUCAUGUAUCACUGAAAUUUUCUUUUGUAAGUUUCCAUCGCCUCUUGGAAGUAGGAAAGUUUGAGCAAGGGCGUGUGUUUUUUUCUUGGACUCGUUGUACUGACUUCUAGGGCGAGUCUGUCGGAAUACCUCAGAGUCCCCCGUACCUUCAUGUUCUUUUGAGACCUAUCGUUCCUUCCUUAGAUUGGUAGCUGGCCUGGGUCUUGGGAGGGGACUGAGUAUUUCAGAAACCCUUGGGUCAUUGAUCUUCGAUCAUAUGUGGAUGAGAUUCUCUCGAUGUUGCUUUAGGAAGUCUCGGCAAUCACGAUAAACGGCUUUCGAUCAUUCCAACCCUUCUGCAAGGAGGUGUCUUCCUCCACUUCUUCUACUUCGGGUCGAAGCAUUUGGGUUGAGAGAAGUCUCAUGUUGAUCAAUGUUUUGAUGAUUAGCUCGCUCCUCAUCAGGGACACCCAUGUUGAAGGAAGGUGACCCUCCGUGUUGGGGGGCACCCAGAUGAUGGUUGAUGUCCACAUGGGCAAUAAGCUCGCGUGUUUGAGUACGCCUAGUUUCGUGGAGCGUCUCAAAGAGCUUCUCAUACUGCUCGUGGAGGACCUCAUUCUUCAUUGCUAUCUUGUUGUUCUGAGCUUCUAGCUCAUCGACUUUAGCUUGAAGAGCAACCCUCUUUCCUUCCUUUUUUCGUUGCUUCGCACUAGGUGCAAGAAGGGUGUCAUUCUGUGUGCUGUGGCUUCCUUCACUCCCUAUGUUGGAGAGGGAUGUCUGGUCAAAAGAGAGUGUACGAAUGGUGGAAACCAGCUUGGCAAAGUUGAAGAGAGUGGGAAUAAGUGUCGUUCCCAUAGACGAUGCCAAAUGUUGAUGCACAAAAUCAGUGAGGACUUUGGUACAACAGAAAGUGUUAAGUUUAUGACCUUCGUUAGAUUGCUUCGGUCACUAGUGUGGACAAGUAUGUAAAUGGAUAGGGACAGGGAAGCAAACACAAGAUGUACGUGGUUCACCCAGAUUAGCUACGUCCACGGAGUAGAUGAGUUCUCAUUAAUUGUGAAGGGUUUACACAAGUACAUAGGUUCAAGCUCUCCUUUAGUGAGUACUAGUGAAUGAUUUAGUACAAAUGACAUUUGGAAAUAUUCUGAUGUCGACACGUGUCGUGCUGUAAUUGGCCUUCUGAUUGGAAGGAAACUCUUCUGGGUCCUUGAUGGUAUAACGUUGACCAGUACUCAAUAGUUUCGGGAUUGGUCAAGUAUGGUACAAACACAAACCUUUUAUUUAUAUGAGUAAAACAGAACGAAAUAUACCUGUUAUCUCUCAAGCAAUUCUCAACCAUAGGAGCCUGCUUAGAGAGCUUUUCUGCUUGCACAAAUUCAGCAUUCCACAAUGCAGCUGGAUCCUUUGGGAUGCAAGCUUGCACACUAUAAACCCCGACCGAGCAGUUGCCAUCAAAUUCUUCUUUUGCUUCUGCAUAUAAUUUGACAGACAUGAAUUCCAUAAUAUUUCCACUUCCCGGAUGUGUAAUGAUGAGACAAGCUAAGUCUGAAUGUUGACAAAAAGAUGAUGAGACGGACCAAGAAGCUAAGUCUGAAUGUCUGACAAAAAGAUGAUGAGACGGACCAAGAAAAAGCAUGAACAAUUAUCUUAGAUUUCAACAAGCACACCUUAAAAAAUUAAAAAUUAAAAAUUAAAAAACUGAAACCAUUGUUACAUAGCUCAUGAAAGGAUGAAUACGCUCAAAAAUAUAAUAGCUUCCAUACUGUGUCAACCAUAACUCAUGUCCGCGUAAGUCUAUGUAUGUCAUCCUAUUGGGAAUCUAACCCUCCAAACUACUGCUCUCACUCUCUGUCAACAUGUUCUAUUGCAUCUAAUACAACCAGAAAAGACGCCAUUGACUUAAAUCAUCAUAUUCUAUCUAAAAGGAAUAUAAUUGGAUGCUCCCUACCCCUUUUCGAUUUUAGUUGAAAAUAUCACAAGCAAACAUACAUACUUUCUUACAAAUAAAUGUUACCUGCAAGUUUAGGCCCAGAAACAAGCCUUGUAUGGUAGCUCGAAGGAUCGCUCUUCAACCAGCCAGCCAAAACAUACACCAAUUCGAACCCAUUUCCAUGAUUUUCAACAAACUCCUGGAGUAACCUAUACAAAACAACUUUCAAUCACCUGUAAACAAAAAAUGCAACCCGGGAAAUAUUGAAAGACAGUUCCUAUACCUCUUUGCAGCAUUGGAAGACACAAAGUAAUUUCGACUCAGCCACUUGUACGAAACCUAUAGCACAGUUGAGCACCGGAAGAAACUUACUUUAGACAAUAUUAUGAAUUCAUAUGAGGUUAAACACAUCUCAACUCAAAUUCCCACCAAGAAAUUUCGUUUUGUCAACGAAACACAGAAGUAACAAUUCAGUAUCAACGCUUGACUGAGAGCGGUUUCCAAGCUUAUUGCAUUCCUGAACCUAACCCAUCAUUAAAUCCCUAAAAAAUUACAUCUUUUUUAUGAAUACAAAAACCCUUUUAACAAUAAACUAAAGAACAUAAACUCUUUCAGCUUGGUAAUUAAGGCAAGUAAAAGAUUUGUCUCACUACAUAACAAGAAAGCAGUAAAAUUUUGUUCAACCCGUGUUAUUCCUGUGUAAAAUGCUCUAAUGGUAAAUCGUUUAGUUCACACUUCUGGGCAAGAACUCACUCUUGGCUCCUAUCCCCAUUGAAUGGAAGAAGAUUUAACAAAUAACACGUGAUGUAAUUUGAAACUUGUCCCCCCAAAAGGUUUUCUCCUAAAAAACGAAGUUAAAAAAAAAAAACUGUGAGAAUAUAAGUUCAAGCAACACUUUUUCCUCUUCUAUCAUAAAGAAUCAAACGAUGAAAUCCUAAUUCAUUAUCCCGCUCUCCCUCUCUCACCACCUGGGCUAACCGGGGUGUGUGUGUGUGUGACCGAGGCAUAGUUGUGUGACUGAGUGAUACAGCGAAACUAGUUAUAGCCAGUAAACUCACAAGUGCGUAUCAGAGAUGAACCUAAUUCAUGUGAUGAAGCUGCAAUUCUACUGUGUUAUGUUAUGUGACACAAGUAAACACUAAUUAAGUUCGCACAGAAACUUCCAUAACUUCUCUGGAUUCCAAUGUCUAGCUGUAGUGCAGAGUAUCGUGCAAUUCUACUGGCUCCUGUUCCGGGUACACGGAAACAUCUCUCAUGUACCAGGAACUUGGAAAAAAUUCUAACUUGGGAUACAAGCAAUAUUCUUGUUGCAACUUUAUAUAUACACCGGACUGCCGAGUAGUGAUUAUUUAAUAAAUAAUCUGAUACAUAAUCUGGUGACAUGUAAAUUACAAACAGGUUUUACACUCAUGAGAGUGCUAAGGUCCUGUAAAUACAAUGUUUACAUUUCAUUUCCAUUGUCUAUACAGUUUCGACGCAUACGUUUAAUUUACAAAUGAGCGAGUGAAGGUUGCGUAAAGAUGUAAACUUCGUCGAAUCCCCUCCUGCAAUCGGAAAGCGUAG